AGGCGCGAAAACUUUACAAUGCGGGAAACCGCGAUAAGGGAACCCCGAGUGCCAGCACCAAGUAUUGGCUGUCCAGAUGAUUAAAACUCAUUUGUUAGCAAGGGCCGGGCAAGACCGGUGCCAGCCGCCGCGGUAACACCGGCGGCCCGAGUGGUAACCGUUUUUAUUGGGUCUAAAGGGUCCGUAGCCGGCCUGAUAAGUCUCUUGGGAAAUCUGGCAGCUUAACUGUCAGGGUUCUAAGAGAUACUGUCAGGCUUGGGACCGGAAGAGGUAAGGGGUACUCCAGGGGUAGGAGUGAAAUUUUGUAAUCCUUGGGGGACCAUCUGUGGUGAAGGCGCCUUACCAGGACGGGUCUGACGGUGAGGGAUGAAAGAUAGGGGAGCAAACCGGAUUAGAUACCCGGGUAGUCCUAUCCGUAAACGAUGCUCCAUAGCUGUCAGGCUCGGUGCGUCCGUGUUCGGUUCAGCAGGGAAGCCGUGAAGCGAGCCACCUGGGAAGUACGGUGGCAAGGCUGAAACUUAAAGGAAUUGGCGGGGGAGCACUACAACGGGUGGAGCGUGCGGUUUAAUUGGUUUCAACGCCGGAAAACUCACCGGGUGCGACAGCAAUAUGUAGGUCAGGACGAAGGUUUUACGCGAAUCGGUGAGAGGAGGCGCAUGGCCGUCGUCAGUUAGUACUUGAAGCAUA
Molecule: ribosomal RNA, 687 nt
Filed under: uncultured archaeon
Lineage: Archaea
Description: bacterial SSU rRNA
Rfam family: Archaeal small subunit ribosomal RNA
Source: RNAcentral